GGCCCGCUAGCUCAAUUGGCAGAGCAACUGACUCUUAAUCAGUAGGUUGAAGGUUCGAUUCCUUUGCGGGUCA
RNAcentral lists this transfer RNA (73 nucleotides) under Deltaproteobacteria bacterium. RNAcentral describes it as "tRNA-Lys". It matches the Rfam family "tRNA". From Rfam's summary of the family: Transfer RNA (tRNA) molecules are approximately 80 nucleotides in length. Their secondary structure includes four short double-helical elements and three loops (D, anti-codon, and T loops). RNAcentral also lists the same sequence under 2 other names. Lineage: Bacteria; Pseudomonadati; Myxococcota; Myxococcia. The record is from RNAcentral.